Pelobates cultripes (western spadefoot toad) is the source of this 94-nucleotide non-coding RNA. NCBI's taxonomy places the organism in Eukaryota, Metazoa, Chordata, Amphibia, Anura, Pelobatidae. The record is from the annotation of a GenBank genome assembly.
CUCCAGAUGUUGCUGAACUGCAACUCCCAUGAUUCUCAGCAAUAUAUAUUUAAUUCAUAGAAUCAUGGGAGUUGCAGUUCAGCAACAUCUGGAG